UACGUAGGGAGCAAGCGUUGUCCGGAAUCAUUGGGCGUAAAGCGUGCGUUGGUGGCCACAUAAGUCCGUUGUGAAAGUCAAAGGCUCAACCUUUGAAAGCCGAUGGAUACUGUGUGGCUAGAGUACGGAAGAGGCGAGUGGAAUUCCUGGUGUAGCGGUGGAAUGCGCAGAUAUCAGGAGGAACACCAAUAGCGAAGGCAGCUCGCUGGGACGUUACUGACACUGAGGCGCGAAAGCGUGGGGAGCGAACAGG
RNAcentral lists this ribosomal RNA (253 nucleotides) under uncultured bacterium. Its description in RNAcentral is "partial 16S ribosomal RNA". It matches the Rfam family "Bacterial small subunit ribosomal RNA", at positions 524 to 776 of the family's 1533-position model. The record is from RNAcentral.